Molecule: small RNA, 100 nt
Filed under: Pan troglodytes (chimpanzee)
Lineage: Eukaryota; Metazoa; Chordata; Mammalia; Primates; Hominidae
Also listed under: 1 other name
Description: processed transcript
Source: RNAcentral
CAAAUAUUUUCAGAUGUAAUUUAAAACCAAGUAAAGAACGAAUGCAGGAAUUUGGGAACUGAGCUGUGCAAGUGCUGAAGAAGGAGAUUUGUUUGGAGGA